RNAcentral lists this ribosomal RNA (1341 nucleotides) under uncultured bacterium. Its description in RNAcentral is "partial 16S ribosomal RNA". It matches the Rfam family "Bacterial small subunit ribosomal RNA", at positions 28 to 1381 of the family's 1533-position model. The record is from RNAcentral.
GACGAACGCUGGCGGCGUGCUUAACACAUGCAAGUCGAACGGUAAGGCUCCAGCUUGCUGGGGUACACGAGUGGCGAACGGGUGAGUAACACGUGGGUGACCUGCCCUGCACUUCGGGAUAAGCCUGGGAAACUGGGUCUAAUACCGGAUAGGACCGCACCGUGAGGGUGUGGUGGAAAGUUUUUUCGGUGUGGGAUGGGCCCGCGGCCUAUCAGCUUGUUGGUGGGGUAAUGGCCUACCAAGGCGGCGACGGGUAGCCGGCCUGAGAGGGUGGACGGCCACAUUGGGACUGAGACACGGCCCAGACUCCUACGGGAGGCAGCAGUGGGGAAUAUUGCACAAUGGGCGGAAGCCUGAUGCAGCGACGCCGCGUGGGGGAUGACGGCCUUCGGGUUGUAAACUCCUUUCACCAUCGACGAAGGGUUUCUGACGGUAGAUGGAGAAGAAGCACCGGCUAACUACGUGCCAGCAGCCGCGGUAAUACGUAGGGUGCGAACGUUGUCCGGAAUUACUGGGCGUAAAGAGCUCGUAGGUGGUUUGUCGCGUCGUCUGUGAAAUUCCGGGGCUUAACUCCGGGCGUGCAGGCGAUACGGGCAUAACUUGAGUACUGUAGGGGAGACUGGAAUUCCUGGUGUAGCGGUGAAAUGCGCAGAUAUCAGGAGGAACACCGGUGGCGAAGGCGGGUCUCUGGGCAGUAACUGACGCUGAGGAGCGAAAGCAUGGGGAGCGAACAGGAUUAGAUACCCUGGUAGUCCAUGCCGUAAACGGUGGGCGCUAGGUGUGGGUUUCCUUCCACGGGAUCCGUGCCGUAGCUAACGCAUUAAGCGCCCCGCCUGGGGAGUACGGCCGCAAGGCUAAAACUCAAAGGAAUUGACGGGGGCCCGCACAAGCGGCGGAGCAUGUGGAUUAAUUCGAUGCAACGCGAAGAACCUUACCUGGGCUUGACAUAUACAGGAUCGCGCCAGAGAUGGUGUUUCCCUUGUGGCUUGUAUACAGGUGGUGCAUGGUUGUCGUCAGCUCGUGUCGUGAGAUGUUGGGUUAAGUCCCGCAACGAGCGCAACCCUUGUCUUAUGUUGCCAGCACGUUGUGGUGGGGACUCGUAAGAAACUGCCGGGGUUAACUCGGAGGAAGGUGGGGAUGACGUCAAAUCAUCAUGCCCCUUAUGUCCAGGGCUUCACACAUGCUACAAUGGUCGGUACAGUGGGUUGCCAGUCCGUGAGGGCGAGCUAAUCCCGCAAAGCCGGUCUCAGUUCGGAUCGGGGUCUGCAACUCGACCCCGUGAAGUCGGAGUCGCUAGUAAUCGCAGAUCAGCAACGCUGCGGUGAAUACGUUCCCGGGCCU